This 253-nucleotide ribosomal RNA is filed under the name uncultured bacterium. RNAcentral's name for it is "partial 16S ribosomal RNA". It matches the Rfam family "Bacterial small subunit ribosomal RNA", at positions 524 to 776 of the family's 1533-position model. The record is from RNAcentral.
UACGUAGGGGGCAAGCGUUGUCCGGAAUUAUUGGGCGUAAAGAGCUCGUAGGCGGUUUGUUGCGUCUAUCGUGAAAACCUGCAGCUUAACUGUGGGCUUGCGGUGGAUACGGGCGGACUUGAGUUCGGUAGGGGAGACUGGAAUUCCUGGUGUAGCGGUGAAAUGCGCAGAUAUCAGGAGGAACACCGGUGGCGAAGGCGGGUCUCUGGGCCGAUACUGACGCUGAGGAGCGAAAGCGUGGGGAGCGAACAGG